This 30-nucleotide ribosomal RNA is filed under the name Lihuaxuella thermophila. RNAcentral's name for it is "16S rRNA. Bacterial SSU". Lineage: Bacteria; Bacillati; Bacillota; Bacilli; Caryophanales; Thermoactinomycetaceae. The record is from RNAcentral.
CUUUGAUGGAGAGUUUGAUCCUGGCUCAGG